Molecule: ribosomal RNA, 253 nt
Filed under: uncultured bacterium
Lineage: Bacteria
Description: partial 16S ribosomal RNA
Rfam family: Bacterial small subunit ribosomal RNA
Source: RNAcentral
UACGUAGGGCGCAAGCGUUGUCCGGAUUUAUUGGGCGUAAAGAGCUCGUAGGCGGUCUGUCGCGUCGGCUGUGAAAACCCGAGGCUCAACCUCGGGCCUGCAGUCGAUACGGGCAGACUAGAGUGUGGUAGGGGAGACUGGAAUUCCUGGUGUAGCGGUGAAAUGCGCAGAUAUCAGGAGGAACACCGGUGGCGAAGGCGGGUCUCUGGGCCAAUACUGACGCUGAGGAGCGAAAGCGUGGGGAGCGAACAGG